Molecule: ribosomal RNA, 253 nt
Filed under: uncultured bacterium
Lineage: Bacteria
Description: partial 16S ribosomal RNA
Rfam family: Bacterial small subunit ribosomal RNA
Source: RNAcentral
UACGGGGGGGGCAAGCGUUGUUCGGAAUUACUGGGCGUAAAGGGCUCGUAGGCGGCCAACUAAGUCAGACGUGAAAUCCCCAGGCUCAACCUGGGAACUGCGUCUGAUACUGGAUGGCUUGAAUCCGGGAGAGGGAUGCAGAAUUCCAGGUGUAGCGGUGAAAUGCGUAGAUAUCGAGAGGAACACCUGCGGCGAAGGCGGGUUGCUGGGCUGACACUGACGCUGAAGCGCGAAAGCUAGGGGAGCGAACGGG